GAGCCUAGUAAUGGGUAGGAGGUGGGGGAGAAGCGUAGAUGUAGACUGGAGGUGGGGGAGAUUUUACUGGUGGUGGUGGAGAGUUGUAAUGGUACGGUGGUGGUGGGGAUUUCACUGGAGGAGGUGGUGAAUGGUAGUAGUAAGGUGGUGGGGGAGAUUUGACUGGAGGGGGUGGAGAGUUGUAAUGGUACGGUGGUGGUGGGGAUUUCACCGGAGGAGGUGGUGAAUGGUAGUAGUAUGGUGGUGGUGGAGAUUUGACUGGAGGGGGUGGUGAGUGAUAAUAGUAUGGUGGAGGAGGAGACUUCACAGGUGGGGGUGGUGAGUGGUAGUAGUAAGGUGGUGGAGGUGAUUUCACUGGUGGGGGAGGUGAGUGAUAGUAGUAUGGUGGUGGUGGAGAUUUCACCGGAGGAGGUGGGGAGUGGUAGUAGUAUGGUGGUGGUGGAGAUUUCACCGGAGGAGGUGGUGAGUGGUAGUAGUAAGGUGGAGGAGGAGAUUUCACCGGUGGAGGUGGGGAGUGGUAGUAGUAUGGUGGUGGUGGAGAUUUCACCGGUGGAGGUGGUGAGUGGUAGUAGUAUGGUGGUGGUGGAGAUUUCACCGGAGGAGGUGGGGAGUGGUAGUAGUAUGGUGGUGGUGGAGAUUUCACCGGAGGAGGUGGGGAGUGGUAGUAGUAAGGUGGAGGAGGAGAUUUCACCGGAGGAGGUGGUGAGUGGUAGUAGUAUGGUGGUGGUGGAGAUUUCACCGGAGGAGGUGGUGAGUGGUAGUAGUAUGGUGGUGGUGGAGAUUUCACCGGAGGAGGUGGUGAGUGGUAGUAGUAUGGUGGUGGUGGAGAUUUCACCGGAGGAGGUGGGGAGUGAUAGUAGUAAGGUGGAGGAGGAGACUUCACCGGAGGAGGUGGGGAGUGGUAGUAGUAAGGAGGGGGUGGCGACUUCACGGGAGGAGGUGGGGAGUGGUAGUAGUAAGGAGGGGGAGGAGAUUUCACCGGAGGAGGUGGAGAGUGGUAGUAGUAAGGUGGGGGUGGAGACUUCACCGGAGGAGGUGGGGAGUGGUAGUAGUAAGGAGGGGGUGGAGACUUCACCGGAGGAGGUGGAGAGUGGUAGUAGUAAGGUGGAGGAGGAGACUUCACCGGAGGAGGUGGAGAAUGGUAAUAGUAAGGAGGAGGAGGAGAUUUCACCGGAGGAGGUGGUGAAUGAUAGUAGUAUGGUGGUGGAGGAGACUUGACCGGAGGUGGUGGAGAAUGGUAGUAGUAUGGAGGUGGUGGGGAUUUGACGGGUGGUGGUGGUGAGUGAUAAUAAUAUGGAGGUGGAGGAGAUUUUACUGGUGGUGGAGGAGAGUGGUAGUAGUAUGGUGUAGGAGUGUGCGUUGGAGGGGGUGGUGAUUUGUAAACAUACGUUGGAGUGGGAGGAGGCGGUGACUUGUAGACAUAGGUCGGAGUAGGAGGAGGUGGUGAUUUGUAAAUAUAGGUUGGAGUUGGUGGUGGUGGAGAUUUGUAAACAUAUGUUGGGGUUGGAGGUGGUGGUGACUUGUAUACAUAAGUAGGAGUUGGUGGAGGUGGUGACUUGUAGACAUAAGUAGGGGUUGGUGGUGGUGGAGAUUUAUAGACAUAAGUCGGGGUUGGUGGCGGUGGUGAUUUGUAAACAUAGGUCGGGGUUGGCGGUGGUGGUGACUUGUAAACAUAUGUCGGAGUUGGCGGUGGUGGUGAUUUGUAGACGUAAGUCGGAGUUGGUGGAGGUGGUGAUUUGUAGACAUAAGUUGGAGUUGGUGGUGGUGGAGACUUGUAGACAUAGGUUGGAGCCGGUGGUGGUGGUGACUUGUAGUAGUAAACCGGAGACGGUGGUGGUGGAGAUUUGUAAUAGUAUGGAGGAUGGUAAGGAGCCGGUUUGUGGCAUUCACCAUAAGGUUUCUUCGGUGCAUAAGCAAAGGACUUAGCAUAAAGCACAACCUCGUACUUUGUCUUUGAUUUCACAUGGAGUUUUGCACCUUUGUUACCCAUAUGGUAACUUGUAGGAAUGUUACAUGGCGAUCCCUUAGGAGGAGCAUGAAGCUUGGCCGUGCAGACUUCGCCACCGUAUUUACGGUAGUUGUAUCCUUUAACGGUGAUUGCGUAUUUACCGUUGAUUUUGGUCUUUCCGUAUGCCUUCACUGUCUUGUCACCGGCCUUGCAAGUCACUUCCACAACAGCACCUAUAUGACAAAAACAAAUUAUUAAAAUUUAAAAAUAUCAUUUGAUGUCCUUUUAGUUGGUAUAUCUACAAAAUCGAUUUUGCUUGUUCGAUCUCUUUGGAUUGUUUGUCAAUAACAGAUUCUUGUCUUUUUCUUGACUUAAUCUCGUUUUCUUUUCUCCACUAAUAAAAAUAAAAUCUAGAUCACAUGCAACUACUAGUACUUUACAAUACAUAUAUGCUAGUUAAUUAUUUAAGUCCUAUAAGCAUCAAGAUAAAAUUAUGUAAAUUAGUUAAGGAAUUUGCUAAGAUUAGAAUUUAUUAUUGAACACGUGGGGGAGACUUAUAAGUUACCUUUGAGAUGCUUCUUAUCGUGGGACUUUUUAGGGUAUGUCCAGUCAUAACAUCUGUAACAGUACACCUUACCAACAACUUUGAAGACAAGUGGAUGUGUGUGUGGGUGAGGAUGAGGGUAUGACACCGGAGGUGGUGGUGAUGAAUAGUAGUAUGGUGGAGAGUACGACUUUGGUGGUGGUGGUGGAGAUGAGUAGUAAUAUGGUGGAGGGUAAGAUUUUGGUGGUGGUGGAGAUGAGUAAUAGUAAGGUGGAGGUGGUGAUUUCACCGGAGGAGGCGGUGAAUGGUAGUAGUAUGGAGGUGGAGGAGAUUUGACCGGUGGUGGUGGAGAGUGAUAAUAGUAUGGCGGCGGUGGAGAUUUAACUGGGGGAG
This 2885-nucleotide long non-coding RNA is filed under the name Brassica rapa (field mustard). RNAcentral describes it as "long non-coding RNA (BRAP_LNC003139)". Lineage: Eukaryota; Viridiplantae; Streptophyta; Magnoliopsida; Brassicales; Brassicaceae. The record is from RNAcentral.